This 274-nucleotide ribosomal RNA is filed under the name uncultured bacterium. RNAcentral's name for it is "partial 16S ribosomal RNA". It matches the Rfam family "Bacterial small subunit ribosomal RNA", at positions 523 to 796 of the family's 1533-position model. The record is from RNAcentral.
AUACGGAGGGGGCUAGCGUUGUUCGGAAUUACUGGGCGUAAAGCGCGCGUAGGCGGAUUGAUCAGUCAGGGGUGAAAUCCCGAGGCUUAACCUCGGAACUGCCUUUGAUACUGUCAAUCUUGAGUUCGAGAGAGGUGAGUGGAAUUCCUAGUGUAGAGGUGAAAUUCGUAGAUAUUAGGAAGAACACCAGUGGCGAAGGCGGCUCACUGGCUCGAUACUGACGCUGAGGUGCGAAAGCGUGGGGAGCAAACAGGAUUAGAUACCCUUGUAGUCC